UAUGACGGUACCCUUUCGAAUAAGAGGUUGCUAACUCUGUGCCAGCAGCAGCGGUAAUACAGAGACCUCGAGCGUUAUCCGGAUUUACUGGGCGUAAAGCGUCUGUAGGGGGUUUGUUAAGUUCCAAGUAAAAUCUUAAGGCUCAACUUUAAGUUCGCUUGGAAAACUAAUAAACUGGAGUCCAGCAGAGGUGCAUGGAACUUGCGGUGUAGGAGUGAAAUCCGUUGAUAUCGCAAGGAACACCAAAGGCGAAGGCAUUGCACUGGGCUGGUACUGACCCUGAGAGACGAAAGCGUGGGGAGCAAAACGGAUUAGAUACCCGUGUAGUCCACGCCGUAAACGAUGGAUACUAGAUGUUCGGGGAUUCGACCCCCUGGGUGUCACAGCUAACGCGUUAAGUAUCCCGCCUGGGAAGUACGGCCGCAAGGCUAAAACUCAAAGGAAUAGACGGGGAUCCGCACAAGCGGUGGAGCGUCUGGUUUAAUUUGAUAGUAAGCAAUGGACCUCACCAAGGUUUGACAUCCUAUGACAACCCUGGAAACAGGGCUUCCUUCGGGCAUAGUGACAGGUGCUGCAUGGUCGUCGUCAGUUCGUGCCGUGAGGUGUUCCGUUAAGUCGGGAAACGAACGAAACCCUCGUCGCAUGUUACAAAUUUCAUGCGAGACUGCCCGGGUCAACCGGGAGGAAGGCGGGGAUGACGUCAGAUCAGCAUGGCCCUUAUACCUUGGGCUACACAGGCGCUACAAUGGCCGGUACAAAGGGUUGCAAAACCGCGAGGUGAAGCUAAUCCCAUAAAGCCGGUCCAAGUUCGGAUUGGAGGCUGCAACUCGCCUCCAUGAAGUUGGAAUCGCUAGUAAUCGUGGAUCAGCCAUACCACGGUGAUACGUUCCCGGAUCUUGUACUCACCGCCCGUCACACCAAGAGAGUUGGUAGC
RNAcentral lists this ribosomal RNA (934 nucleotides) under uncultured organism. RNAcentral describes it as "bacterial SSU rRNA". It matches the Rfam family "Bacterial small subunit ribosomal RNA", at positions 468 to 1418 of the family's 1533-position model. The record is from RNAcentral.